This 87-nucleotide transfer RNA is filed under the name Microbulbifer aggregans. Its description in RNAcentral is "tRNA-Ser". It matches the Rfam family "tRNA". From Rfam's summary of the family: Transfer RNA (tRNA) molecules are approximately 80 nucleotides in length. Their secondary structure includes four short double-helical elements and three loops (D, anti-codon, and T loops). Further hydrogen bonds mediate the characteristic L-shaped molecular structure. tRNAs have two regions of fundamental functional importance: the anti-codon, which is responsible for specific mRNA codon recognition, and the 3' end, to which the tRNAs corresponding amino acid is attached (by aminoacyl-tRNA synthetases). tRNAs cope with the degeneracy of the genetic code in two manners: having more than one tRNA (with a specific anti-codon) for a particular amino acid; and 'wobble' base-pairing, i.e. permitting non-standard base-pairing at the 3rd anti-codon position. RNAcentral also lists the same sequence under 1 other name. The record is from RNAcentral. Lineage: Bacteria; Pseudomonadati; Pseudomonadota; Gammaproteobacteria; Cellvibrionales; Microbulbiferaceae.
GGAGACAUGGCAGAGUGGUUGAUUGCGCCGGAUUGCUAAUCCGAGGGCCCCUGGGCCGCGGAGGUUCGAAUCCUCCUGUCUCCGCCA